RNAcentral lists this long non-coding RNA (799 nucleotides) under Salmo salar (Atlantic salmon). Its description in RNAcentral is "lncRNA (ENSSSAG00000107459.1)". The record is from RNAcentral. Lineage: Eukaryota; Metazoa; Chordata; Actinopteri; Salmoniformes; Salmonidae.
AUGUGGUGUAGUACAGGUGUAACCUGUCCGUACAGUAACUCAGUCAUGUGGUGUAGUACAGGUGUAACCUGUCCGUACAGUAACUCAGUCAUGUGGUGUAGUACAGGUGUAACCUGUCUGUACAGUAACUCAGUCAUGUGGUGUAGUACAGGUGUAACCUGUCCGUACAGUAACUCAGUCAUGUGGUGUAGUACAGGUGUAACUCAGUCAUGUGGUGUAGUACAGGUGUAACCUGUCAGUAACUCAGUCAUGUGGUGUAGUACAGGUGUAACCUGUCCGUACAGUAACUCAGUCAUGUGGUGUAGUACAGGUUUAACCUGUCCGUACAGUAACUCAGUCAUGUGGUGUAGUACAGGUGUAACCUGUCCGUACAGUAACUCAGUCAUGUGGUGUAGUACAGGUGUAACCUGUCCGUACAGUAACUCAGUCAUGUGGUGUAGUACAGGUGUAACCUGUCCAUACAGUAACUCAGUCAUGUGGUGUAGUACAGGUGUUGUGUCCGUACAGUAACUCAGUCAUGUGGUGUAGUACAGGUGUAACAUGUCCGUACAGUAACUCAGUCAUGUGGUGUAGUACAGGUGUAACCUGUCCGUACAGUAACUCAGUCAUGUGGUGUAGUACAGGUGUAACCUGUCCGUACAGUAACUCAGUCAUGUGGUGUAGUACAGGUGUAACCUGUCCGUACAGUAACUCAGUCAUGUGGUGUAGUACAGGUGUUACCUGUCCGUACAGUAACUCAGUCAUGUGGUGUAGUACAGGUGUAACCUGUCCGUACUGUAACUCAGUCAUGUGGUGUAGU